Molecule: RNA transcript, 2007 nt
Organism: Xenopus laevis (African clawed frog)
Lineage: Eukaryota; Metazoa; Chordata; Amphibia; Anura; Pipidae
Gene name: prostaglandin E synthase 3-like
Exons: 8
Source: RefSeq, a predicted model, not a curated record
AUGAACUCCGCACAGGAUCCGGCCACAGCCGUGGACCGGCAGCCAGCAUCUGCAAAGUGGUACGACAGAAGAGACUACGUCUUCUUGAAUUUUGUGUGGAGGACAGCAAAAAUGUAAAAACAGACUUCGAUAAAAAUAAAUUAACAUUCAGUUGUCUUGGAGGAGCGGAUAGUGUAAAAAAUAUUUAAAUGAAGUUGAACUUUUUCAGUCUAUUGAUCCCAAUGCAUCUAAACAUAAAAGAACAGACAGAUCUGUUUUGUGUUGUUUACGAAAAGGAGAGCCUGGAAAAUCAUGGCCACGACUGACAAAAAGAAAAGGCAAAGGUAUUUUACUACAUAAAAUAUUGCAGCUUAAUUGGCUUAGUGUGGACUUCAAUAACUGGAAAGAUUGGGAAGAUGACUCUGAUGAAGACAUGUCAAAUUUGACCACUUUUCUGAGAUGAUGAACAAUAUGGGAGGAGAUGAGGAUGUGAUUUACCAGAAGUAGAUGGUGCAGAUGAUGACUCACCAGACAGUGAUGAUGAAAAAAUGCCUGACCUUGAAUAAGAAAAGUCCUCUUGCAGUUUGGGAAAUGGAUGGGAAAAUAGGUGGAAAGCAAAAUAUUUCAACACACUGCAACACUCGCUGAAAUCUGAGUUGUAAAUACAGUUACUGAGUACUUCCAGUCAGCCUUGUUUGUUUAUCACCACCAAAUGGCUUUCAUUGAGGGUCAGAAAUUACAGUUGUACAGUGCAUCAUUCACUCAUUCACACCAUUCAGCCUCUUCUAGAUGUAUUUUGUUGAUUACCUGUAUUUAUGCAAGACUUCACAGCUUGGUAUUGCAUAUAGUCACAAUAUCAAUGCACUUAAACUUUUUUUUUUUCUGGGGGGGGGGGGAGAUGGUGUGCAUCUUAUCUGAACCAGCAGGUCACAUCUUACAUGUGUAUCUCUUCUGACAACACAUACAAACAUUUUCCCAAAUUAAUGUACACAUCUUAGCAAUUGUAAUGGAACCCAGGUCAGAUUCUUCUUUGUGGAUCAUAAACACAGCCAAACGGUCACUAAGCAUUGUAGUGGUGGGGACAAGUGGCUGGCAUGUAGGUCCUGCUUUGGAUGCGACUGGGUUAAAAGAUUGAACAUUUGAAUGAAAAUAAUGUGGGUGAGUAGCAAGACAUGUUAGGAGAGACGGAUGUGCUGUUUGAUUAUGGAAAGGUGAUUCUGAAGUAAUACAAUUGAUCUAUUUUGCAUCAGUGUAUAAUUGCACAAGUCUCAAUCGUCUGAUCAAUUUAUAGUAGAAAACCUGCAAAUUAGAAAGAAAUAAGAAAGUAUAAAACUGCAAUCCACAGCUUUUCUUUUACUCCUAACUGGUUUAAUUUUAUGUAGUGUUCCACCCAAUCGUGUCACUCUUGGGAGUUUGUUAGAUGCAGCACGGAACUUAAUUUUCCUUUAAUAGCGUCUUCUGUCAAUACUGUGACACAAGCUGAUUUUAUUUACCUUAAUUUUGAAAUGUGCUUUUGUAUUUUAAUGCUUUGAUAUAGCCAUACCAUUUGUUCCCCAUAUUAGUUUCUAGCAGCACAUUCUAUACAUUUGCUAGCCUUAUUCUAAUUCAGAUUUUCAGGACAUCCUUAUGCAACUACUUGUCAGUAAAUUCAACGUGUGUGUGCUUUUAGAAGGAUUGUCUGGGUUAUGUUUUUGGGUUGGACACCAAGGAUGACAGUAAGAACUUUGUUCUCACAGCUUCUAAAACAUGCCUGUACAAUUGUUUUUCUUUCACCCGUUUGCAUCUCUGUCUUUGGAAGAGUGCAGCCAGCUGUACAUUAUUUCUCAUCAGUCUGUACAUUUAGACCAAAUUGUAUUUGCACUGUCACAGUAUAUAUUAAAAAGAGAGUAACAAAAUGUCAAUACACUAUUCUGUUUUGUUUUAUUCCUUUUUUUUUUGAUCAGGAAACGAUACCUAAAGUUGUUUUGGAAGUGGUGGGGAUUUUUUUUUAAUUGUCUGCAUUAUUUCUAAUAAACUGUUAAGAGACAA